This 71-nucleotide transfer RNA is filed under the name Marmota monax (woodchuck). Its description in RNAcentral is "tRNA.Val". It matches the Rfam family "tRNA". Rfam says of the family: Transfer RNA (tRNA) molecules are approximately 80 nucleotides in length. Their secondary structure includes four short double-helical elements and three loops (D, anti-codon, and T loops). Further hydrogen bonds mediate the characteristic L-shaped molecular structure. tRNAs have two regions of fundamental functional importance: the anti-codon, which is responsible for specific mRNA codon recognition, and the 3' end, to which the tRNAs corresponding amino acid is attached (by aminoacyl-tRNA synthetases). tRNAs cope with the degeneracy of the genetic code in two manners: having more than one tRNA (with a specific anti-codon) for a particular amino acid; and 'wobble' base-pairing, i.e. permitting non-standard base-pairing at the 3rd anti-codon position. The record is from RNAcentral. Lineage: Eukaryota; Metazoa; Chordata; Mammalia; Rodentia; Sciuridae.
GGGGUUGUGGCUCAGUGGUAGAGCGCUCGUCUAACAUGUGUGAGGCACUGGGUUUGAUCCCCCGCACCACA